RNAcentral lists this ribosomal RNA (494 nucleotides) under uncultured bacterium. RNAcentral's name for it is "bacterial SSU rRNA". It matches the Rfam family "Bacterial small subunit ribosomal RNA", at positions 993 to 1483 of the family's 1533-position model. The record is from RNAcentral.
UCGCGGACAUCAGAGAUGAAGUCCUUCAGUUCGGCUGGAUCGGAGACAGGUGCUGCAUGGCUGUCGUCAGCUCGUGUCGUGAGAUGUUGGGUUAAGUCCCGCAACGAGCGCAACCCUCGCCUUUAGUUGCCAUCAUUUAGUUGGGCACUCUAAAGGGACUGCCGGUGAUAAGCCGGAGGAAGGUGGGGAUGACGUCAAGUCCUCAUGGCCCUUACGGGUUGGGCUACACACGUGCUACAAUGGCGGUGACAGUGGGCAGCUACUUCGCAAGGAGAAGCUAAUCCCAAAAAGCCGUCUCAGUUCAGAUUGCACUCUGCAACUCGGGUGCAUGAAGUUGGAAUCGCUAGUAAUCGCUAAUCAGCAGGUAGCGGUGAAUACGUUCCCGGGCCUUGUACACACCGCCCGUCACACCAUGGGAGUUGGUCUUACCUGAAGACGGUGUGCUAACCAGCAAUGGAGGCAGCCGGCCACGGUAAGGUCAGCGACUGGGGUGA